GGGGUUGACUGGAUUUGACAGCGGGAUGAAAUGGUACGUAAGCACGCGGAGACUCGUUCGCGCUCUCCUAAAUCAGAGUGAACAAAAAAUUAAUUGGCGCAAACAAUUACGCUCUCGCUGCCUAAUCGAAGCAUAGUAGAUUACUGGCUUAAUCCCCUUACUAGGUAGGGGGACGAGACAUCGCUCCGAGGAUGUUGUUCCGAAUCCGGAGAUCAAGCGGUGCAGGUUAAAUCGGAAAUAGCGUCUGCAGGCCUCGCUGCUGGCGUGAAACUUUAGAGGAUAAGGUUGUGGUUGGUGGUCCAGGUCUUGCCGCAACACGAAAACCGAAGGCUGGAAUAAGCGUGUAGAAAGCGUAUGGUUUCCCUGUUUGGACGCGGGUUCGACUCCCGCCAGCUCCACCA
Molecule: transfer-messenger RNA, 401 nt
Filed under: Bacteroidaceae
Lineage: Bacteria; Pseudomonadati; Bacteroidota; Bacteroidia; Bacteroidales
Also listed under: 1 other name
Description: Prevotella sp902769705 Standard tmRNA
Rfam family: transfer-messenger RNA
About the family: Bacterial tmRNA, also known as 10Sa RNA or SsrA, is named for its dual tRNA and mRNA-like properties. Its role is to liberate the mRNA from a stalled ribosome. To accomplish this part of the tmRNA is used as a reading frame that ends in a translation stop signal.
Source: RNAcentral